This 403-nucleotide ribosomal RNA is filed under the name Periwinkle (India) phytoplasma. RNAcentral describes it as "partial 16S ribosomal RNA". It matches the Rfam family "Bacterial small subunit ribosomal RNA", at positions 966 to 1367 of the family's 1533-position model. The record is from RNAcentral. Lineage: Bacteria; Bacillati; Mycoplasmatota; Mollicutes; Acholeplasmatales; Acholeplasmataceae.
GUACCUCACCAGGACCAAACAGGCUUGUGCAAAGUUGAAGUAUCACAGGGGAGGUUAUCAGUUGCACAGGUGGUGCAUGGUUGUCGUCAGCUGUUGUAGUGAGAUGUUGGGUUAAGUCCCGCAACGGGCGCAACCCUUAUUGUUAGUUACCAGCACGUAAUGGUGGGGACUUUAGCAAGACGGCCAGUGAUCAAUUUGAGGAAGGUGGGGACGACGUCAAAUCAUCAUGCCCCUUAUGACCUGGGAUACAAACGUGAUACAAUGGCUGUUACAAAGGGUAGCUGAAGCGCAAGUUUUUGGCGAAUCUCAAAAAAACAGUCUCAGUUCGGAUGAAGUUGCAACUGACUUCAUGAAGUGGAUCGCUGUAACGGAUCAGCAUCUCUAAAUUAAAAAAAAAAGAACA